UACGUAGGGGGCAAGCGUUGUCCGGAUUUACUGGGCGUAAAGCGCGCGUAGGCGGAAGAUUAAGUCCGAUCUGAAAGCCCCCGGCUCAACCGUGGAGGGUCAUUGGAAACUGGGGAACCUGAGUGCAGAAGAGGAAAGUGGAAUUCCAAGUGUAGCGGUGAAAUGCGUAGAUAUCGGGAGGAACACCUGUGGCGAAAGCGGCUCACUGGACCACAACUGACGCUGAUGCGCGAAAGCUAGGGGAGCAAACAGG
RNAcentral lists this ribosomal RNA (253 nucleotides) under uncultured bacterium. RNAcentral describes it as "partial 16S ribosomal RNA". It matches the Rfam family "Bacterial small subunit ribosomal RNA", at positions 524 to 776 of the family's 1533-position model. The record is from RNAcentral.